UACGAAGGGGGCUAGCGUUGCUCGGAAUCACUUGGGCGUAAAGGGUGCGUAGGCGGGUUAUUAAGUCAGAGGUGAAAUCCUGGAGCUCAACUCCAGAACUGCCUUUGAUACUGAUAGUCUUGAGUAUGGGAGAGGUGAGUGGAACUGCGAGUGUAGAGGUGAAAAUUCGUAGAUAUUCGCAAGAACACCAGUGGCGAAGGCGGCUCACUGGCCCAUUACUGACGCUGAGGCACGAAAGCGUGGGGAGCAAACAGG
Molecule: ribosomal RNA, 255 nt
Filed under: uncultured bacterium
Lineage: Bacteria
Description: partial 16S ribosomal RNA
Rfam family: Bacterial small subunit ribosomal RNA
Source: RNAcentral